Molecule: non-coding RNA, 491 nt
Organism: Lepisosteus oculatus (spotted gar)
Lineage: Eukaryota; Metazoa; Chordata; Actinopteri; Semionotiformes; Lepisosteidae
Source: RefSeq, a predicted model, not a curated record
GUGUAUUUAUUGUCCAUGUGCGAGUACUGCAGAGAUCAACUGUCAUUGGGACCACAGAGGGUCCUGCCAUCACAACUCUCACAGAAUAAGUGACUUCCUGAUAAGGCCAGAUGGAAGGAUGAAACAAAGAUGGAACUCUACUGCUAUCAUUAUAGAACACUGUCAUUAAAGGAUUCGCUGAUCCUGUGUUGUGCCUCUAAAACUCCAUAGUUCUGGGUGAGGUGUCAUGCUCUGGGAAGAGAGACAUUUUUGAUUGAGCUUCAUCACAACUUCUGGACAGAAGGAGAAUGGGAGACUACUGUUCCAGAACACCUAUUGAUCUUUCGCAAUCACUGUGGAGUAAAAAAUCUGGAUAAGUGAGAUUGAAGAUGAGGCUUGAUGACUGUGGACACUUCAGCAAUCACAGUAAUGCCAUGGAAACCUUUAUGGAGACACCUAGUGACUGUAGAGCAGUAUAACAGGGGAUUAUGGAGCCAGAUGCAAACAAUUUC